GUGAGUCUCCUCACUGACAAUGGUAAUACUAAGGAUGACCUGAGGCUCCCAACAGAUGAGAAUCUUCUCUCACUGAUCAAGGAUGGAUUCGCGGAGGGCAAAGACCUUGUUGUGUCUGUCAUGUCUGCCAUGGGAGAGGAACAGAUUAAUGCACUGAAGGAUAUUGGUCCUAAGUAAACGGAGAGAAGGGACAUGACGGUACCAGCUUGUUCAAGAACAUCUACUUCUACUUCGUGUUCUUGAGUUAGAUUGUUGUUCUAAUAUUUGUUGGAAUUUAUCUGAUUACUUUGAACGUUUUCAAAUCUCCUUGUUCGAUGAGUUUAGUGGGUCAUUUGCUAGAGUAUAUUAGAAGUAAUAAUUCAUUAACUUUCUGUAUUAAUAGUAUUCUGUUUGAUACAUCUUUGCUGUAGUUAUACGCUCUAAAAUAAAAAUUGUGCAGUGUGCUAUUUUUCAUACAUCAAAUGAAAUAAUU
RNAcentral lists this unclassified non-coding RNA (472 nucleotides) under Hevea brasiliensis (rubber tree). Lineage: Eukaryota; Viridiplantae; Streptophyta; Magnoliopsida; Malpighiales; Euphorbiaceae. The record is from RNAcentral.